CAAGAGGGUAUUUGCGUGUUGUUGCAGUUAAAAAGCUCGUAGUUGAUUUUAAAUUGGCGGAGGCGUGGGAGGCUGGCGCAAGCCAGUCGACCCGCGCUGUAGCCAAUUUACGCCUCUCUCUUGAGGCCCUGUACUGUGAAUAAAUUAUAGUGCUCAAAACAACUUACUUGAAUACACUAGCAUGGAAUACUACCAUACGACCAUUGAAUGCUGGCGCAUCCAAUGGUAAUAAAUCAUAGAAUUGAUCGGGGCUAUUCGUACAGGCUGGUCAGAGGUGAAGUUCUUUUACCCAGCCUUGACGACCUAAAGCGAAAGCAAAUGGCAAACUCAACUUCUUUAA
This 340-nucleotide ribosomal RNA is filed under the name uncultured eukaryote. Its description in RNAcentral is "partial 18S ribosomal RNA". It matches the Rfam family "Eukaryotic small subunit ribosomal RNA", at positions 592 to 976 of the family's 1831-position model. The record is from RNAcentral.